RNAcentral lists this ribosomal RNA (436 nucleotides) under uncultured bacterium. Its description in RNAcentral is "bacterial SSU rRNA". It matches the Rfam family "Bacterial small subunit ribosomal RNA", at positions 28 to 457 of the family's 1533-position model. The record is from RNAcentral.
GAUGAACGCUAGCUACAGGCUUAACACAUGCAAGUCGAGGGGCAGCACAGAGUGGCAACACUUGGGUGGCGACCGGCGCACGGGUGAGUAACACGUAUCCAACCUGUCCCAUACUCGGGGAUAGCCUUUCGAAAGAAAGAUUAAUACCCGAUAGCAUAAGAUUUCCGCAUGGUUUUCUUAUUAAAGAUUCAUCGGUAACCGAUGGGGAUGCGUUCCAUUAGGUAGUAGGCGGGGUAACGGCCCACCUAGCCGACGAUGGAUAGGGGUUCUGAGAGGAAGGUCCCCCCACAUUGGAACUGAGACACGGUCCAAACUCCUACGGGAGGCAGCAGUGAGGAAUAUUGGUCAAUGGGCGAGAGCCUGAACCAGCCAAGUAGCGUGAAGGAUGACUGCCCUAUGGGUUGUAAACUUCUUUUAUACGGGAAUAACACGCGGC